Molecule: long non-coding RNA, 7122 nt
Organism: Dromaius novaehollandiae (emu)
Lineage: Eukaryota; Metazoa; Chordata; Aves; Casuariiformes; Dromaiidae
Exons: 4
Source: RefSeq, a predicted model, not a curated record
GGAGCGCGGCGCGGAGCAGCGCGGCGGCGGCAGCGGCGCGGAGCAGGCGGCCGGAGCCGAGGACGGGAGCGGUGCGUUCGACGAGCCGAAUUUCUCUCCGGUCCCAGUGCGGUGUGAGCACCUCGUGAGAGCCCACAGUGAGCGUGGUUGUUCGCGAACAACAGCAAAAAAAAUCCCAAAUAAUCAGCCGGUUGCUUUAUCUGCAAGAAGGAGAGAUACUCGAACGCUUACAAAAAGAGAAGCAAUUUAGCGUUAUUUUCUCCAUGGCAGGGUGAAAUGGAUCACACCAGCACGGGCGGAGAAUUUGGAAAGGAGCUAGUUCAGAAAUUAUCAGCUGCAACAGCGCCCAAAAACUUCUUCCCCAUCCCAACACCCCUGGAGAAAUGCAUCUCAGCGACUUCCAAGAAAAAAGACCCCAGACGUGGAAAUGGCUCUCAUAAAGCCCAUGUCGUAUGGCUUGUCGCGUAGAAGUAAACGCUGCACUGGACACCUACGGCUCCCGAAAUCACCGGAUCCUGCUCCCACUGCAGAAACCUAAGGAGUUUGCAUGGUGGGAAGCGCCGUUUACUUGUUUGUUUGCUUGUUUGUUCUAUUUAUAGACAUUUCUGCCGAGCUCAUCCCCGGAGCAUCUGCAUGCCCACUGGAGUGAGAUCUGAUUUCCGAGGCAAGCUCCAUCCUUAUUCAGCCGCAGCGUUUUGGAAAAGUCUGCUAAAGAAAGAGUGAACGCGAUCCAUGCCGUGCGCAGCCUUCGGUGCUCCUGCUAGGGACUCGAGUGUGGUUUUCUUUCCCCCACUACGCUUUCACAUAGCAACGCGAAACAAUUAAACUGGCCUGAAAGCCACCCGAGGCUGCAGUGACGAACUGAAAUGCUCUGUGUUUGUCAAAGGGUUUCAGAAAACAGGUGAAGAAUUAAGAUAGGAAUUAAUGCCCUGCUUAUCGCAUGUAAAUGAAAUAUUUAAUCUGCCAUUUCAUCUCUUAUGUGUGCUCGAACACCUCCAAAAGUUCUUUGAACAAAUAUUUAGUUUCCAAGCUAUAAAUUCGUCUUAUGCAAAGAGAAGGCUUUUAGGAUCUCCAGUUUAAACUCGUUCUUACUGCUUGUUGUGGUGCUGAGAAUUAUCCAGCCGGUCAGCUUACCUUUCCCAGGAGUGGUAAUUAAAAGAGAACUUGGGAAGGGGGGAUAAAAGGAAGAAUAAUAGCAUUCAGAAAAAUGGAAGCUCACCAGUUGUGACUAGCAUCCUUGCUAGUUCAUUUAUUUCUUCACUUAACUCCUGUUCUUCUCUCCAAUACCCCUACAGCUGCUCUGUUUUUAGAGCAACUCUGCAGCAUUUUGAGAGCCUUUAAAAAUGUCACUCUGAGAAAGAAAAAUAGAGAAGUUCAAUUAUUAAGGACUGAAACUGCUCAGGUAUUCCCUAGUCUGGCAGAGGAGUUGUCUAAAACAAGAGCUGCUUCAUCAUAUUCUCUCCUGAGAUUCAAGGAGAGCACUUGGGGAUUGACUCGUCUUUUUGCACACUGGGCUGAGAUGAGAUGGGGUGGGAAAGGGAGAGGCAAAGGAGGAUCCUUCUGAAAAACUUCUCUGGAGGUAAGGUCUCCCUUCUUCCAGGGAGGAAGAAGCUGGCCGUGGUGACAUGGAGUUAGUGGCAUCUGACAGGCAGGUGGGGGCCCAUUGCCAGGCUUUAGGUGGGGGGUAAAGGGGGCAGCAGGAGCCUUUCCCAGUGGCCCUACGCUACUUAGACAGCAUUUAUGGAUGGAUAAAGCUGAACAUUGGACAGGACACCCUUAAGGAAAAGAACCUUUCAGUGGAGCCAUCAACCUGUCAUCACUGCAAUAAAGGUGUAACACACAAGAGUGCUGGUAAGAGCCCAGGGUUUAUUUCCUAGCCCUGUCACAUGACAUGGGGUCAGGGUUACUAAAGGUUACUCCCUCACAUGGAAAGGAUCAGUGGCCAUCCAGCAGCUGCUUCUCCCCACUCCGGUCUCAUUUUGUAUUUUAACUCAUUCCUGUGUCUUUUAAAAAAUGCAAAGCCAACAACUAUGUUCAGCUACAAAGCCAUAUAGGCAAUGAGUAACACAUUUGCAUACAGCCCUGAAGCACCAGCCAGGUCAAAGCUAAAGGCUUGAACACCCUCUUGCACCCACCUUAUGUCCUGGGAAGAAUUCCUUUUCCCAGCUGGUGGAGACAUACCAGAGGGUCCUAUCACUGCACUGCAAUAUUUUUCCAAACAAGCUGCUUGCUGUCUUCCAGCACUGUCCCUCUGCAAUGAUCUGUUUGCCCAAGAAUGUGAAAUCUACUGGUUGGCCUCUGGGUUUUGCAGUGUCAUAUCUUCAUGAGUAUGACACAGUGAAACCAGCAUCAGGACUUCUUUGAGAAAGUUAGACACAGUCUUUGGUCAUAUCAUUCCCUGUUAUACAAUUCCUGGCCACAUGAGAGAUUUAAGCUCUAUUACAGCCUCCGAGUCGGUGCACAUGGGCAUAAUGGGAGCCAAGACAAGGAAGACUUGGAAUCAGGGACAUGGAACGGAAGUAACCAGAGACUACAGAACUAACAAGAAAGCUGUUCUCCGCAAAAAGUUGGUUACAAUAGCUUUGCUGUGGUUUCCUCCAGACACUUGUCAGACAACACUGUCCUACCCAGGAUGUGGGUGUAGCUAAAUGGCUUUCUAUGAAGCCUUGCAAUAAAACAUACACCAGAACAUAAGACAGUGCAAAGCAUUUGUUAUAGAUCUUGGAGAUUUACAUUAGUUUUAUAUAGGGUUUGGAGUAUAUUUUAGAUUUAUUUAGUGCUCACAGAGCCAAGCAUUGGUCUUGCAGACAGAAAAUGUUUGCCACCUCUAAAGAGCUGGAACUAUGGCUGGGUUCCUUGAUUCGGCUUCCCACAUCUCCGUACUAAACACCGGAGCAAGGGUGGCCAGGAGCAGGAUUGCCCCUGCUCCUGAAUGGGCCCAACGCACCACACAGAUCAGAGCACAGACCCCGACUAGUUUUGCCCAGGCUGUUAGCCCUAGAGGGCCUCUAGGCAUUGCUCAAGUGGCAAGGAAGUGUUAGGGGUAAGGAUCCCUUAGUCAUACCUCUUGAUCAUUAUUAUCAUUAUUAUCACUCCUCCUUAGCACUGUAAGCAGGGAGCAGGCCUCAAUUUGUGAAGUGCUGAGAAAGCAGAGAACACAAAGACAUUCCCUGCCCCAGAGAUUUUACCAGGCAAGGGGAGGAUAAGGGAUGAUGGAUGAACAUUGGAAAGAACUCAAAAACACAAGAUAGUAGCAGCUCACCUGACCAGCAUCUGCCCUGUGAGAUAGGAGACAGGCAGAGACAGGAGACACUAUUCAAAGCUAGAGCUGGCAACAAACAAUCAUUUUUUUAAAUGAAAAAGAUCUUAAACAAACACAUUAAAGUUACUGUGUUCUGGGGUUUUCCUUCUUUUCUUGGGAAAGGGCAAGGAGUUUCCUUAUGGUCAAAAUGGGGAGAAAGAAAAAGUGACACAAAAAUAGAAGUGUGAGAGAAAAACAUGAAGACUGUCAUUAAAAAAAUACUGUUUUUCUUCCAGUCAAAAUCUGUUCUAAUCGAAACUGGGUUAUUUCUACUUCAGAUGUUGAACAGCAGCUGUAUAAUGCCUGGGAUGCCCCUAAGCAGAUGAAUUGGAUUAUAAAGUAGAUUUGUGCCUUUUCCAAAGAGACACUUGUGGAGGAGUACUGUAAAGUGAUCCUAAUGAAUAGGGUAAGGGGAUGGCUGGCUCUUAUCUUAUUACCACAAAAUAAUAAUAUGAACAACAAGGGUAUUGUUCCUCUCUAAAACACUAUUGCCAAUAAUAUUCAACAUUUUAUUUGUAGGAAAACUGCUAACUGGUCACCACUUUACUCAUUGCCAUGAAGUAACUAAUGUUACCCCUAUUUUACAUGCAGGGAAGUGGAGUCGGAAAGAUUAGGGCUUGCCCAAGGCCGCAGAGCCAGCAAUCAGGCAGGAAGAAAACUCCAGAUUUCCUGGCUCCCACUCUCCUCCUAAAUUGAUCAUCCACACUCCAAUGACUUCUAAACAGUGUUUUCUAAGAUAAAAAAGUUCUGCCCAAAUCCAUCCCAUGGAAUCAAGCACUGCUGGAAUGUGAUUUAGCAUGUUUUGGACCAAUUCUAUAACGCCUUGCGCAACAAGACACAAUGUUUUAGCGCCAUUUAAUACAGUCCUAACAGUAUACCUGACCAGUCUUUGAUGUUUGAAUUAACCAAAACUGUCUACCUGGGAGAGCUGCAAUGUGAGACAGUGUGAGUCAGAAAUGGUGAGAGAACAUGACUGUAAGGGCAUGUAUAACAUCCGAGGCAAUUUACUGUGGAGGACUCAGGCCUUUCCUGCAACAAAAAGACUUUUCACUUCAACAUUUUGCCUGUGCAUCAAAUCACAUAGGCUAGACAACGUGCAAUGGUUGGUUAAGCUGUUCAGCAGGUAAUGUACCCAUUCCUGAGCCAUCAUAAACUCAGCAUAUUGAUUUCCCUCUAUCUGAUUAAAAAUCUUUUUAUAUAAAAACGAGCCACUUAAGCUGGACUAAGUGUAUCCACACAACACAGCAUUUCACUGAGGGCUGUGAUUGAUGAUUUAUCUUGGAUUUAGCUGAUGUAGCUGAAGAAGUUACUGCUGUUGGCUCCAGCUGUAAAACAGGGGUGUCUGCUCCUCAGCUAUGGUGUCUGGUGUGUUAAUUUAAACUGAAAUCAUGUUAGGUUAAUUAAUAACAGUAACUGUGAAUGAAGCAGCUGAAGGUAGACAUCUCUUCUGCCCUGUCAGCAAAGCUGUCAGGGCUCAGGAAUCAGAGACUCUAAUUGAUGUGUGUUGCAGCAGUGAUUUCUAUAAACCUCUUUUCCAUUUCAUUGCAGUGCACUAAGAGGUGCCAUUCCCAACAGCUGUGCUGUCAUAGCUGUGAGGUGGUAACUUACAGCCAAGUGCAUAAUCAUUGCUUAGGUCAUCUGUCAGGCACACUGGGGGUGACCUGGUCUUCCCUGCUUGGGUGAGGCCUACUCAGUUUCAAAAUAAAUUAGUUUCAAUUCUUGAUAUUCAACCUCUCUGCAGAGCUGAAGUGCACAGGGCUGUGGUUUAAGCUGCAAAUCUAUGCAGAGACUUACAGGCCUCCUUUAUUUCAUCUGAGUUCUGCUUGAUUGCAUUUAGAUUAGAUGAAUUUGGUACAAACCAAAGCAAGACACUCAUGCAGUAAGGAACAGGAAAUUAUUGGAAGGGUUAGACUGUGUUAAUGAACAUCUACUUUUGAAAGCUCAGGCAAAUUAAGAUAGGAUCUGAGUUUAAAAUACAGUGGCCCUCCCUGAGUACUUCCAUAUUUGAACUCUCCUUUUCUGAACAAGAUCUUGUGCUCUUCCUGUCCUGACCGGGAAGGAGUGUUCGCCUAACCAGGAAAUUCACCCGGGCUGAGAUGGGGUGUGGAUCUGAGGUGGAGCAGCAAGUCCUGCAUGGAUCUUCAUAAACAUUUUCAUGUGUGAAUAAGUCUUUAGCCUCCAGUCACAGACUUCAUCAAGAAUAGCUCUGUAUGUUGAGUUGUAUCACCCAAGCUCUACAGAUUACAAAGUACAAAUUACCCUGUGAACUUGCCUAGUUCAUAGGUCAGAACUGCCUUCUCUGUCAUGUUGUAGGCAGGCACCUGAAACUUAGCAGUCUGGUGCCAUUUUAGAUGUAAGACACUAAAAGGUGGCAGUUAUCCCAAUAGCCUACUGCUAUUUUGAUUGUGAGGUAUACUGAUCAUAAGACUUGCCUUGAUUCACUGCUACUGUACAAAUGGUAUACCAAGCCUUCCAGGCAGGCAGCAGAAAAAAAAAAGAGAAGGCGCAAUCCUUUAAUUAGUGCAUCCUGAAGUGCACACAAGUGCUCAGGAAACCCCAGUUGUUGGGUGUCAGCAGGAGAUUCUUGCUCCUCAGGAAAGGUUUCUUACUAGUGUUAAGGCUUGAUGCUAUGGAAAAUAUGGUCUAUGGGCAGGACAUCUGCUUUUCAUAUAAUUCUGGUUCCUUUCACCAACACUGGAGCCAGAAGCUCACAGGCUGAACAGCUCCCUUCUCCCUCCUGGCCAGCUUUUCCAGUUCUUUUGGUUCAUGGUUGUCCUUUUUGGAGAUAUCCUACCAGGCACUUUAUACUUCGCUGAAAGCCGAAGUGCCCAUCAUGUGGAAGGACCACUGGCCUCACAGAAUGGCCUAGAAAACACCAUAUUUUCAUCAGGAACAUCCUUAACUCAUCUAUAUGCUCCUGGCUAGGAAGAGAGGCUUCUUGUCCAGACUGUUUUUACUGAGACAUGUGCAACUCUCCUUCUAUCUGCUGGAAGGUUUCCCUCCCACUCACUACCUUCUUUGGGGUUUACCCUGUGGAGCUCUCUAGUAGAGCCAUCUCUUGUGGGGGAGGUGGAGACCUGCUCUUUCUAAACGUCCUACUAUCAUCAGGAAAACACUCGCCAAACAUGGAGCUUGGGAGGAGAGAAGAAAGUGGAAUAACAUCGCUGUAUGAUCUGAGAAUUCCCCUCUGCUCAAAGAGCUGUUGGGUUAGGACACUUCUUUUGUGAUUCCUGUCACCAUCUUCACUGGUGUUUGUUUAAGUUGGACAAUGCCUGGAUUGGGCCUUAACUUCUGGAAAACUCAGGCUCUUUGGCCCUCUCAGCAGCUGCUCUUCCACUGUCCGAUUUUCAUGCUGAUGUAUCCAUUUGAUUUCAUCCUAAUCCACACAAAGUUCAGGUUUCUUAGUGCUGGGAGAGUUUUGACCCAGCAGGCACCAGAGUGGUUAUUAUAUGGGAUUAAUGCAUCUGCCAUGCAAAGAUUCUUUCAAGACUAUUCGGUUGGGGUUUCCCCCCCACUUUUACAGUGUGCACUAUAUCAUAUUUUAACCCUGCUUUGGCAAGAUGAUGUGUGUUUGUGUGCAAGUGUGUGUCUAACCCCUAACAUGAGUGUGAUCAGUUAAGGGGUUGGUUUACAAACCCACAUUUCCAAAGCUUUGGAAAUCUGCACGGAUCUUGCAUGGAUUUGGCAUUGAAACCUCUGGGAGCGGCCAGAAAUCAAGUCCUCUCUGCUCCCACCCUUUUUAUUUCUGUGAAUGAAUAUGUAAGAGAUCUAUAAAUCUAAAACUGUGCAGGCGUGGAGAAAAUCAUAGGAGUCCGUCUGGU